AAUCAACGCUGGCGGCGUGCCUCAGACAUGCAAGUCGAACGAUUAAAGCUCUCUUCGGAGAGUGUAUAGAGUGGCGCACGGGUGAGUAACACGUAAGUAAUCUACCUUUGAGUGGGGAAUAACAACCGGAAACGGUUGCUAAUACCGCAUAAUGCAGCGGCACCGCAAGGUGACAGUUGUUAAAGAUUUAUCGCUUGAGGAGGAGCUUGCGGCAGAUUAGCUAGUUGGUAGGGUAACGGCUUACCAAGGCUACGAUCUGUAACCGGUCUAAGAGGACGGUCGGUCACACUGACACUGAAUAACGGGUCAGACUCCUACGGGAGGCAGCAGUCGGGAAUUUUGGGCAAUGGGCGAAAGCCUGACCCAGCAACGCCGCGUGAAGGAUGAAGUAUUUCGGUAUGUAAACUUCGAAAGAAUGGGAAGAAUAAAUGACGGUACCAUUUAUAAGGUCCGGCUAACUACGUG
This 465-nucleotide ribosomal RNA is filed under the name uncultured bacterium. Its description in RNAcentral is "bacterial SSU rRNA". It matches the Rfam family "Bacterial small subunit ribosomal RNA", at positions 32 to 507 of the family's 1533-position model. The record is from RNAcentral.